RNAcentral lists this ribosomal RNA (100 nucleotides) under Clostridium botulinum. Its description in RNAcentral is "partial 23S ribosomal RNA". It matches the Rfam family "Bacterial large subunit ribosomal RNA", at positions 1 to 99 of the family's 2925-position model. Lineage: Bacteria; Bacillati; Bacillota; Clostridia; Eubacteriales; Clostridiaceae. The record is from RNAcentral.
AGGUCAAGCUACAAAGGGCGCAUGGUGAAUGCCUUGGCACUAGGAGCCGAAGAAGGACGCGAUAAGCUGCGAUAAGCCUUGGGUAGCCGCAAAUAGGCUG